UACGUAGGCAGCAAGCGUUGUUCGGAAUUACUGGGCGUAAAGAGUGUGUAGGCGGUGUUCUAAGUUUGUCGUGAAAUCUCCCGGCUUAACUGGGAGGGUGCGGCGAAAACUGGAAUGCUAGAGGAUGGGAGAGGUAAGCGGAAUUCCUGGUGUAGCGGUGAAAUGCGUAGAUAUCAGGAGGAACACCCAGGGGGAAACCAGCCGACUGGGCAUCUACUGACGCUGAGGUGCGAGAGCGUGGGGAGCGAACCGG
This 253-nucleotide ribosomal RNA is filed under the name uncultured bacterium. RNAcentral describes it as "partial 16S ribosomal RNA". It matches the Rfam family "Bacterial small subunit ribosomal RNA", at positions 524 to 776 of the family's 1533-position model. The record is from RNAcentral.